This 602-nucleotide long non-coding RNA is filed under the name Brassica napus (rape). RNAcentral's name for it is "long non-coding RNA (BNAP_LNC001090)". The record is from RNAcentral. Lineage: Eukaryota; Viridiplantae; Streptophyta; Magnoliopsida; Brassicales; Brassicaceae.
AGUGUGAUCCGAAGUCAGGCUAAGUCUAAGAUAAUUUCUAUAUAAUAUUCCUCUUUUAGUAAAAUAGAUAUGUUAUUAUAGUAUACAGUUGAGUAUAAUAUAAAUGAAUUUUGGUUUAGAUCUUUUUUUCUUUGUCAAAUUAUUUGGAUUUAGAUAAACAACUCAAAUCUAAAUAAAACUUGUUUUUGCUUUUCUUUUGCUUUUUAAAUUUGGGUCAGAAUAAUUUGGAUGAUUUGAACAAGAAAAGCUUUGCCGAAAUACAUAGAAUAGUAUAUUUUUUACCCAAAAUAUAUCAGAUAUUAUUGGGGUGCUCUUUCUUUGUCAAGAUAGUAUCCUCUUAUAUGAUUUGGACUUGUGAUUGGCAAAAUGAUGAUUGAGAUGCUCUUUCUUUCACUCUACUAUAUUUUGUUGGUAAGAGUUUUAUGAGUAUCCAAGGUAGAUGUGAAAGAUAGAGAGACCCACCACUAGUGUUUCCCAAUUGUCAUAUCUAUGUGGUGGCUUUCUCAGUAUCAAACAUAUAAACAAAUACUAAUACAUAUGCUUUUUAAUUUGUUAGUAUAUGGAAUACUAUAUUAUAAUAUAGCAUUUUGAAUAUACAAUUU